UGACAACAUACCUUUAAAUGUGAUACGUAAGCAAGAAUCUGGAAUGCUUCUUAGGGAAGAACAUCCUUCAGCCUAGACUUACAGGAUGACUCAACAUUUGCCAGGCAGAUGGAAAGGAGGAACAUUCCAAGCUUAAAGACAGUGUCGCCUGGAUGGGGCUGACUACAGUGUGGGCGUGUGUGUCCCUGAUUCUUGUGCUGAAGAGGAUGUGACUCUGAUGUCUCGGCUAGUGGUUGGUUAAGUGCAAGGUCGUUUUUAAAGAUGCAUCAGAAUUCAGACAAAGGAAUAACCCCCAAAGGCAUACUCAGAGACUUUCUCAGUCACCUGGUAAGGUUGCAGCCUCUUCACCUGUAUUCAGUGUGCUUGUUGGUUGGACUGUUCUCUCUUGUUCCCUGGGGACCUGUCUGGGAAAUGCCCAAAUUCCACUGGGAUAACUGCCGGCGAGCAUGGUGGACGAAUCUGCUGUUGCUAAAUAACUUUGUGUCGGUCAAGAAUGCAUGCAAUGGCUGGACCUGGUACCUUGCCAAUGACUUCCAGUUCCACCUCACCACACCAGUGAUUAUCUUCAUCCAUGUAAAGAGUACACAGAUCCUCAUCCUCCUUGGGGCCAUGCUGUUCUUGGCAUCUUUCACAGCCACUGCUCUGAUCACAUUGGCAUAUAAACUUCCUGUCGUGGCUCCAUCAGAAACCAGGUCCUCUCUGAACUCAACGUUGCCCAUUGAAACGCUUCUCAGAGGAAAGGAGCGCCCCCAUGUGGCUGUACUGUGUUUCUCCUCCAGCAGCCAAUGGCUGCUUGGUGGCUCUGUUGGAUGGAGAGACUGAACCUACCUCUUCAAGGUCACACAACUAGUAGGUGGCACAGGUGUGAUUUGAACCUAGAAGCCAAUCCACAGUGCUAUUUCCCCUCCCCAAUGAGGCAUGUAUGACACUUACACAGGAAAAACUGUUAUGAUUACCUGCUAAUCUUCUCUCAAUGCAGUGACACAAAUGAAAAUCAGAUUACGUCAGUCAUCUGCUCGAAUUCCUCCAGUGGCCUCAUUGGUCACCCUCCUACCUGCUGACACUGGACCAGCCACACCAACUCAUCUCAACGCACCAAGCACUUUCCCCGAACCCCCUUCCCCACCCUCCC
Molecule: long non-coding RNA, 1132 nt
Filed under: Pan troglodytes (chimpanzee)
Lineage: Eukaryota; Metazoa; Chordata; Mammalia; Primates; Hominidae
Description: lncRNA (ENSPTRG00000054434.1)
Source: RNAcentral